This 139-nucleotide ribosomal RNA is filed under the name uncultured bacterium. RNAcentral's name for it is "partial 16S ribosomal RNA". It matches the Rfam family "Bacterial small subunit ribosomal RNA", at positions 355 to 509 of the family's 1533-position model. The record is from RNAcentral.
UGGGGAAUAUUGGGCAAUGGGGGAAACCCUGACCCAGCAACGCCGCGUGAAGGAAGAAGGCCUUCGGGUUGUAAACUUCUUUUACCAGGACGAAGGACGUGACGGUACCUGGAGAAAAAGCAACGGCUAACUACGUGCC